GUACACACAGAUCCGGUGGAUAGUUACACUAAGACCACAAAGAGUAAUAUACGAGGAUGCAUACGAUGCCUUGGAUGUGUCACAUGUGGACAUAUGAUUCCGUCUAAGAAAUUUACCCAUCCACACACCAAUAAAGUAUAUGACAUCAGGCACACCAUUUCAUGUAAAACUCCCUUUGUCAAUAUAAAACUUUUGUGUCCCUCACAGGUAGGCCUCAG
Molecule: non-coding RNA, 218 nt
Organism: Pelobates cultripes (western spadefoot toad)
Lineage: Eukaryota; Metazoa; Chordata; Amphibia; Anura; Pelobatidae
Source: the annotation of a GenBank genome assembly